CUGCACUGUGCACCGUUUUAAACAUAAAUGUGAUGAUUACCACCCAGGAAGCUCGCCUUGGGGCAGGCAGGGUGCCCUGUCCCUCUGCCCGUGGAGCUCCAGGCAGCAGGCAUGGGCAGUACCGCUGCUCCAUGUGCACACAAGGCCCAGACUCCACACAGGAAAACUGCCAUCUGAAAGGAGAAUUGGAACGCACAGCCCAUCUGACUCUUGUCUUACUGAGACGUUAAACAGGAACACUCCCCAUAUCUGUAUGCACAGAAGACAAUACCGCCAGCUGUGUGAGGACCAAUCUUUCUCUCUCUUUUGGUGCACAAUUUUCCUGCACAAUAACCACUGACUUGUCUUUCCUUUCUGAAGACAAUUGUCCACCCGAGUGUCAGAUGAAGGGUGAAUUAUCUCCGAGAUACAGCGCGGGAGCACGACCAUGUUUCCAGUGCUGAGGCUUCCUCUGCAGCUCUCUGAACCUGUGUCGGUGCGUCUGCAGGCAGACGCCCCAGUCUGUGCUCGGGAGGCAGCCCUUGAAAGGGAGCCAGGAGGCCCAGACACACACAGGCACCUGUGCCCAAAUCCGGGCGAUGAUCCAGAAAUUAAGCGCCCAGGUCUGUCUCUAAUUGCACGUUUCAGCAGCGCCGCCCACCUAAUACAUCACUCUCUGAUGUGAAGGGAGGGGGAAAUUGCAGCCAGCCAGUCUGGUCUUUCCUCUGGAAAGGUUGGGAGAUGUCAGAGGAGUGGCAGCAGCAAGUCGUCUCACGUGAACCCGGAGGUGCUCUGUGGUUCCCCAAGGGGCGGAGCCUGCGCUGCUGGGGUCUGGGAUGGAGGGGCUUUGCACUGGACCACCUGAGCUAUCCAGGGUGUGGGGCUCCAUAGAGGCCCAGAUAGGGGCUCAGGGACCUCCAGCCAGGGCAGAAGAGCUCAGGGGUGGUUUCCUGGCUCUCUGCAGUGAGUAGGGUGUUAGAAGGCACCAAAACAAGGCCCCUCCCCCUUGGAUCUGCAGGACAUGGGCUGGUCGUAUGUCAGCUGUUGCUGCCACAGAAGUCAGGCUUCCAGGGGUGGAGUGAGCCCUGGGGUGACCUGGUGAUUCUGCAGCCACUGUGACAAGGCAUGGAGUGUCUUACGGGUCCCCUGCGGUCCAGUGUUAGAGCACCAAGUUACGUAACCCAUGUGACCCUGGGCUUCCCAACACGGCGCAGGCUUUCCCGUAGACCCUCCUUCACGCUGGAGCCCCUUUGACAGGAAGGGUGAGAUCAAAGGAAUCCUUCUCUCCAUGAGGAAUGCCGGCGCUUGCAGCAGCUGCUCUGCGAGGGCCCGCAUGUUUGCAGACCCGGACCUCAGGAAGGGAAUGCAGGUGACCACAGCAGCGCAUUCGGGAAGGUUCGGGGCCAGCUGGCGGCCACAUGAGGAGCCUGCCCUCCCAGACUUUACACAGCCUGCGUCACUGGCAUUAUCAUGUUCAUCACUUCUACUGAUGGGGCUGAGUCUCCAACCAAUAAUUGGGCUGCAUCUCCCGAGGUCGGUCAAGUGGCUUCUCCGAAAUCACCCUGCAGGGUCCCUGAACUGACAUUAAUCAGCUUCAGCCUCAGCUAUCUCCUGGACUGGGUCACCUGUAUCCGAGGCUCCCAGCUUCAGCCAGACUCAGGCCUCUGAUAUUCCUCAGCUCGCCCUGGUCAUUAACCAGACUUUCUCUCUACUCAUGAGCCAGCCUCAGGCAUCUAAAUGAGCAACGGUCCAUCUGCCUGUCAGAAAGAAGACCCAGACACAGUCCCGGAUGCAACCAUGACUCUCAGCACCAAGGCAUCCCCCCUUCAGCGUUCAGAAUGUGAGUCCAUGCUUUUCAGACACUGACAUCUGAGUCUGUCCAUCAGCAGCAAAGCAGCCUCCUUAAGUAGCUCCCACAGGACCCGGACACACACACACACACACACACACACACACACAUACACACACACACACACACGCGCGCAUCCAACCCCAUCAGCAGCAAAACAGCCUCCUUAAAUAGCUCCCGCAGGACCCAGACACACACACACACACACACACACACACACGUGUCCAACCCCGUGGCAGUGAUUUAGAAGCCAAACCCCAGGUACCUCUCAGUCAAAUAUUUCAGGAGUGCCGGCAACCAAGUAAUCACCCUAGAUUCAAAGUGAGGAGAGAAACUGCAGCUUCCAACCUCUUUAAAAUUGCCAGAGGAUGUCAAAGGCAUGGAGUGGGGUGGGCGGUCUCAGUUCUGUUACCAACGCUGUGAGUGACCCGUGUCCUUCAUGGGGAGCUGAGCCUGGGACUGCUGUGCAUGCAGGGUGGGAAAUCCAGACUGAUGGCCUGAGUCCUCCAGCAGCGCGUGGGGUGCAGAGCCCCAGGGGUCAAGGGCAGGGCUUCGGGAUUAUUGAUCUUCGAGGACAGAUCCAAGGCUGGGUCACCCUCUCAGGGGGUGGCUGUCCUGGGUUUACCUGCAGUGCCUGGGGGUCUGACAGCCCUAAAACAAGCCCCCUCUACCUCUUAGAUCUGGGCUCAGGGCACCUUUCAGUACUGGGGCUGUUGCUGCCAUGGGCAUCUGGGCUCCUGGGUUAAAAACGGAAUGGGCAGUUUUUCAAAUUUUGAUAAGUGCUGUCGGUUUGAUGACAUAUCACAAUGGCCACAGGUAAUGGAAUCCACAUAGGGGCUUCACUUCUCAUCAUUCCAGCACCCCCCACCGUGUGUGGAAAUGCACCUUCUCUUCUCCUGGGAGACGUUCCUCCCAUCCAACUGUCUGGUUCCAGGAAGAUACUGUGCUCAUACAUGACUCCGCCCCCAUAGCCACCACUGAUUGGUCUAUGGGUGGUCACCUCACCCCAGAUUGGCCUUUCUGGGACUUUUCAAACUGGAACUGACAUGAAGCCAAGAGGAGGAAGAGACCGCAUGUUUUCUGGCAUAUGGAGAAGGCUGAUCUACCAUGACAAAGAGUUAAGACAAUCUCAUUAGAAGGCAGAGGAGGUGGGGCUGGACCACCCAGGGCCGGCUGCUCUGACGCUCACCUGCACAUCUGACCUGCUCUUUGGCUGCACAACCUGAGUCCAAGAGCAGACCCACAGGGCUCCCUGCAGAGAGUUCAAAGCAGAGGCUAUUUACAGAGGUCCAAGUAGGGGUGGGGAACCUGCAUCCCACGAACUGGAUAAGCAGGGAAACUGUUAUCCACCACAAGCCCCAGGGCACAGGUGUGGGGCUUUGUUUCUGGAAUGCAGGGAGGGUUGUAACUCUGGGAGAGGGGUCACCUGGCAGGAUCUGAGAUCUUAUUUGGGGAAAAACUUCACUGCUAAACAUCAGUCAGGCAGGGGCAAUACCUGCUCCAACUUCUGUCUUCUCCCAUCUUAGGCUUCUCCUGGGGACUCUCAUCAGUCAAAUCCAACAGAAUCCAGAGGGCAGGGAGCCCCACUGGUGCCAUUUAUAGAGGUCAGCCUGUGGGCACAGUGAGGUCAGAGAAGGGCACGGAAUCGAUGCAGAGGGGCAGUCAAAGAGUAACUUGUGCAAAACAACCCUUCUUGGAUUCCUUGAGUCAGUAAAUGUUCCCAUUGGUCUUAGCAUUUCUGAGUUGCAUUUCUCUUAUUUGACUCCAAAACUCCUGUUCUGUAAGUAACUCCCCAAAGACAGUAAGUUUCUCAAACCAGUUACUAAAUCAAGUAUAGGGGCUGGUGAAGCUAAGUGAUGCUUGUUGCAUGGCUAGAUGAGAAGGCGAGAAAGCACUGUGGAGGCUCCAUCAAUGUUAGAUAGAUGCUGCCCUGGUUUCAUCAUCUGCUACCUACCCUUAGGCAGUUUCUUUGUUAAAGCAUCUUAUGAUCUUGCCCAAGAUUACCUGUGAUAGAGUAUGAAGGCCCUUGGUGGCACAACCCCUCUUUUCAUGGUCUUUUAUAAAACCAGCUGCCCAGCAGUGCCUGAGACUGAGCAGACAUUCAAUUCAUGUUGUUUGAAUGAAGGGACAGACGAGUUGAUGAUGGAUAGAUGAUGAAUGGAUGGAUGGAUGGACGGAUGGGUAAGUAAAUGGAUAGAAGAGGAAAUGGAUAAAUAAGUAAAUGAGUAGAUGGGUGGAUGGGUG
This 4072-nucleotide long non-coding RNA is filed under the name Homo sapiens (human). Its description in RNAcentral is "HSALNT0197551". Lineage: Eukaryota; Metazoa; Chordata; Mammalia; Primates; Hominidae. The record is from RNAcentral.